CCUACGGGUGGCAGCAGUGAGGAAUAUUGGUCAAUGGACGAGAGUCUGAACCAGCCAAGUCGCGUGAAGGAUGACUGCCCUAUGGGUUGUAAACUUCUUUUAUAAAGGAAUAAAACGAGGCACGCGUGCCUUUUUGCAUGUACUUUAUGAAUACGGAUCGGCUAACUCAGUGACAGCAGCCGCGGUUAUUCGGAGGAUCCGAGCGUUAUCCGGAUUUUUUGGGUUGAAAGGGAGGGUAGAUGGGUGGUUAAGUCAGUUGGGAAAGUUUGCGGCUCAACCGUAAAAUUGCAAUUGAUACUGGCAGUCUUGAGUACAGUUGAGGUAGGCGGAAUUCGUGGUGUAGCGGUGAAAUGCGUAGAUAUCACGAAGAACCCCGAUUGCGAAGGCAGCUUACUAAACUGUGACUGACAUUGAGGCUCGAAAGUGUGGGUAUCAAACAGGAUUAGAUACCCGGGUAGUC
Molecule: ribosomal RNA, 460 nt
Filed under: uncultured bacterium
Lineage: Bacteria
Description: partial 16S ribosomal RNA
Rfam family: Bacterial small subunit ribosomal RNA
Source: RNAcentral